Molecule: ribosomal RNA, 475 nt
Filed under: uncultured Desulfobulbus sp.
Lineage: Bacteria; Pseudomonadati; Thermodesulfobacteriota; Desulfobulbia; Desulfobulbales; Desulfobulbaceae
Description: bacterial SSU rRNA
Rfam family: Bacterial small subunit ribosomal RNA
Source: RNAcentral
UUGACGGGGCCCGCACAAGCGGUGGAGUAUGUGGUUAAUCGAUGCAACGCGAAGAACCUUACCUGGUCUUGACAUCCCGGAGACCCUUAGGAAACUAGGGGGUGCUUCCAUCUGGAAGAAUCUGGAGACAGGUGCUGCAUGGCUGUCGUCAGCUCGUGUCGUGAGAUGUUGGGUUAAGUCCCGCAACGAGCGCAACCCUUGCCUUUAGUUGCCAGCAGUUCGGCUGGGCACUCUAAAGGGACUGCCGGUGUUAAACCGGAGGAAGGUGGGGAUGACGUCAAGUCCUCAUGGCCUUUAUGACCAGGGCUACACACGUACUACAAUGGCCGAUACAAAGGGCAGCGACACUGCGAGGUGAAGCCAAUCCCGUAAAAUCGGUCUCAGUCCGGAUUGGAGUCUGCAACUCGACUCCAUGAAGUUGGAAUCGCUAGUAAUCGUGGAUCAGCAUGCCACGGUGAAUACGUUCCCGGGCCUU